Long non-coding RNA from Cannabis sativa, 356 nucleotides. RefSeq lists it as uncharacterized. NCBI's taxonomy places the organism in Eukaryota, Viridiplantae, Streptophyta, Magnoliopsida, Rosales, Cannabaceae. The record is from RefSeq and is a predicted model, not a curated record. The transcript is spliced from 2 exons.
CAAAAAUAUCAUUAAUAAAUCUAUUCAAGACGAUGGUUUGGUAAGCUAUAUUUUAUAAUUUUUAUUUUCUUUCUUUUCUAAUAUGAGAAUAAUGAUGUAAGAUGGGUGUGCAUAGCAUGACCUGGUUCUAUCAGGGAAGAAGUUAUUGUCACAAACAAAACUGGCUGAAGAAGACGCUGAGAGGAAUGUGAAGAAGAACAUCAGGAGGGAAAAACACUUGAUGAGAGAAAAGGGACAUGUGAUACCAGCAAAUUAUUUGGAUGCACUUAAAGAGUUUUAAUUGGUGUUACAAAAGGAGGUAGUGGUUUCUUACUAUAUAUAUAGAUAUAUGCAGUAGUUCUCACUGUAAAGAUUUA